CUCCCUAGGUACACCUGAUCCCCUUCUAUUGUAUCUUUUUUGUUUGCCCGAUCACUGAUCGGGAUUGAGUCGCCCACCAGCUGUCGACCUCGUGCAUACUACGACAUCAGCAUCGACUGGGCCAUCAGCUGCCCCGACACACCAUCGACUAUGCAUUGGACGUCCCAACACGAGGAUCGGGAUUGAGUCGCCCACCAGCUGUCGACCUCGUGCAUACUACGGCAUCAGCAUCGACUGGGCCAUCAGCUGCCCCGGCACACCAUCGACUAUGCAUUGGACGUCCCAACACAGGUGCACGCCCCACCGGCUCAUCAUCGACACCUUCGCCGAGUAUUACGCGUACCUUCUCUGAGCAAAAGGGUUGUUGUUGUGUUGCCUCAUCUAGCCGCAGCACCGCUGCCCAUGUGUCCACUUCACUGUUGCAUCUACAUCGCCAUCACCUGUGCAUCGACGACUAUGCUGCACAAUCUCUGUUGCGCCAUCUGCCUGCACAAGGUCUUCGUCUUGCUGAUUAGGUCUUGAUCAUCAAGCUGUCGCUACUCAUGUCGUCAAUGAGACCUACUCACCGACGCGUCUUUUGCCACAUUGCUUCUUCGUCCAACACAACCACACGGUUGGGGCCCUCUCCCUUGUACGUUCGGGUAUUGACAACACCGACGCGUGCUUUAGUCCCCAACGCGUUGCUGGAUCUGACAAUCCAGCAGCGCCUCACCACUAAUGUGGCUUGACUGCAUCGACUUCAUCGACCCUCCUGUUCCCACCCUGUCUACCUCGUUUGCAUCGUCGCCCUUCUUCUAUGUCUACGACGGCCCUGAUUGUGUCGACUUCGACAUCGCCCCUCCCACGACGACUGCCUCGACGCGUCCCUGUCAUUACCAUGGCGCCCCUUGUGUGCCUGCAACUCCAUCGACAAGGCAACCCGACCACAACUACAUCGACCUCAACCAUCCUUGGCACGGCUUCUUCAACCACAGCUACAAUGCCCUCAUACUCGGCUACCUAAACAACGGCACAAAGGGCUACCACCUUGCAUGAGGACUCAUCAGCGGCUUCUCCAGCCACAACAUACGCGGCGCAUCAACUAUUAUGACUGCGGGGGAAUGUUAGCUUUGUCAGCUUCUCUAGUCUCACAGUCUGCAACACUCCCGCUGUGACUGCGAGGGGAUGUUAAAUAGGAAUAGUAGCACAUUGUGUACCCAUGUGAGGUGUUAGUCCUAUGUAACCUAUAUAAUCAGCCCAUGAGGCCCAAUACAAUAUAUCCAAUAUUCUACCAAUUAUAUUCUCCUUGACGGACAAACACAAAGAAGCAUAGGAAGUAUUAUGUUGAAGAAGGCAUCCAAAUGACACUUUAC
This 1352-nucleotide long non-coding RNA is filed under the name Sorghum bicolor (sorghum). RNAcentral describes it as "long non-coding RNA (SBIC_LNC010023)". The record is from RNAcentral. Lineage: Eukaryota; Viridiplantae; Streptophyta; Magnoliopsida; Poales; Poaceae.